AUUGAACGCUGGCGGCAUGCCUUACACAUGCAAGUCGAACGGUAACAGGUCUUCGGAUGCUGACGAGUGGCGAACGGGUGAGUAAUACAUCGGAACGUGCCCGAGAGUGGGGGAUAACGAGGCGAAAGCUUUGCUAAUACCGCAUACGAUCUCAGGAUGAAAGCAGGGGACCGCAAGGCCUUGCGCUCACGGAGCGGCCGAUGGCAGAUUAGGUAGUUGGUGGGAUAAAAGCUUACCAAGCCGACGAUCUGUAGCUGGUCUGAGAGGACGACCAGCCACACUGGGACUGAGACACGGCCCAGACUCCUACGGGAGGCAGCAGUGGGGAAUUUUGGAGAAUGGGCGCAAGCCUGAUCCAGCCAUGCCGCGUGCAGGAUGAAGGCCUUCGGGUUGUAAACUGCUUUUGUACGGAACGAAAAGACUCUGGUUAAUACCUGGGGUCCAUGACGGUACCGUAAGAAUAAGCACCGGCUAACUACGUGCCAGCCGCCGCAGUAA
RNAcentral lists this ribosomal RNA (498 nucleotides) under uncultured bacterium. RNAcentral describes it as "partial 16S ribosomal RNA". It matches the Rfam family "Bacterial small subunit ribosomal RNA", at positions 30 to 523 of the family's 1533-position model. The record is from RNAcentral.